AAGAAGUAUGUGCAACCAGACCAUCCCACCAAAGUCCUUCUAGGGCUAAUGAAUGAACUUCAAAGAACGUCUUCAAACAUCAAGUUCAUCAGUGACCAGAGGUGUACUUUUGCAACCUCUCCAGGAGCUUUGUUUUGGAUGUCUUCCUACCAUGAGUUUAGUUACCAUAGCAACAGCCAGAGAAGCUCUGCCUGGAAGAGAGAUUUCUUGUAUAAUGAGCCUGGAAGACCUUAAGGACCUCGCAGCCUUCAGUUCACUCAACCCAAGAUCUCAAGAUUUCAAAGAAACGAAGAGAUUGAAGGCUUCUGUCUCGCAAGUUAGUCACUGAUCAGGCAGAAGUGUUUGGCUCCUGCUUCCUCACAUUUGUUUUGCACACACACAAUGGUCUUGAUAUGUUUAGAGGGUAUUUGCAAUGGGAUGUGGCUGGCCCAACUGUCAGCUAACCUUCAUGUUUCUUUCAUAGCCCCCAGGAAGAAAAUUGAAGAGUUCAAAGAAUUGAAAAGUUAAGCCAAUUCAUUUAAAAUAAUCUUUGACUUUCUCAUUAUCAAUAUAUGUGUAUUUUCUGCAAGGUUACAAAAACAACUGGAACAUAUGUUAAAAUAAUCUUCAGUGUCAUCUGCAGCAACUAAUUCUAGAGAACUAUCUUAUUCAAUUUCAUUUCUUACUUAUAUGGAACUAAACCUUAAUCUGCUUUUCAGGUAUGAAAUAUAUUCAUGAUUCUGUCUCAAAAUAUGAAAUCAAAAGUUAGCAUUAUAACUCCCAGCUAACUGUCAUAUUAAUUCAUCUGGAUGAACCUUGUGGUACUGAACUUUGACAAUGCUCAGGGUGUCAAAGCAAACACCUGCCCCACCCCACGCCUACCCCAAAAACAAACGAGAGGCUUUUAUAGGUUGCAAGUCCUGGUCUGGUUUAUUUAUAAAGCAAUAAAUAUUAGAAGCACAAACAAAUUGCACGUGUGUAAACAAACUGUACAAUGAUUGAUGAAAGAUGAGGGAAGGUGGUUUGGAAGACUCCAAGAAGCAUAAUACCGUCAUCCUGACUGGAAGGUAGAUGGAGAGAGAAGGCAUCUUAGAAGCAUUUGCGGUGGACAAUGGAUGGGCCUGCCUCAUCGUACUCUUGCUUGCUAAUCCACAUUUGCUGGAAGGUGGACAGAGAGGCCAGGAUGGAGCCCCCAAUCCAGACAGAGUAUUUACGCUCAGGGGGAGCAAUAAUCUGCAGAAAGAAAACAAAAACUUCCAGUGAACUCUGAAGUUCCAAGCAAGGGAGCAAAUAACACAUUGGGAGGAUUCACAGAAAAAAACCAUUAGAUAUUAAUUCGCUAUAAUGUGGGAUAUGUCAUACCACGAAAUAAUGUGGCCAAUCAAGUUAUAUGAACUCACCUCUAUUUCAUCAUUUAUAUUAUUAAAGAUAUAUUCUAUUAUUAAAAUGGAAUUUCUCCACUUACCUAGAGUGUAAUUUGGCAAC
Homo sapiens (human) is the source of this 1464-nucleotide long non-coding RNA. Ensembl annotates it as GJD2 divergent transcript. Its record names the gene GJD2-DT. NCBI's taxonomy places the organism in Eukaryota, Metazoa, Chordata, Mammalia, Primates, Hominidae. The record is from Ensembl.